Molecule: ribosomal RNA, 460 nt
Filed under: uncultured bacterium
Lineage: Bacteria
Description: partial 16S ribosomal RNA
Rfam family: Bacterial small subunit ribosomal RNA
Source: RNAcentral
CCUACGGGAGGCAGCAGUGAGGAAUAUUGGUCAAUGGGCGCGAGCCUGAACCAGCCAAGUAGCGUGAAGGAUGACUGCCCUACGGGUUGUAAACUUCUUUUAUAAAGGAAUAAAGUGAGGCACGUGUGCCUUUUUGUAUGUACUUUAUGAAUAAGGAUCGGCUAACUCCGUGCCAGCAGCCGCGGUAAUACGGAGGAUCCGAGCGUUAUCCGGAUUUAUUGGGUUUAAAGGGGGCGUAGAUGGGUUGUUAAGUCAGUUGUGAAAGUUUGCGGCUCAACCGUAACAUUGCACUUGAUACUGGCAGUCUUGAGGACAGAUGAGGUAGCGGAAAGUGGUGGUGAAGCGGUGAAAUGCUUAGCUAUCACGAAGAACUCCGAUUGCGAGGGCAGAUUACUAAGCUGCCACUGACAUGGAUGCUCGAAGGGGUGGGUAUCAAACAGGAUUGGAUACCCUGGUAGUC